AUUUGAAAUAAUUUAUUUGAACUGUGUUGCAAUUAUAAACGCUAACAAACCACACAUUUGAACUUUUUAAGAAUGUAUGAAACAAUUACAUGAUGGAGGAAUCCAAACGCUUAGCUUUCAUGUCUUUCAUAUUGUCUGUUUUAUAUCUCUGGUUUAAGUUGAGGGGAAUUAAAGCCAGCCUUGUUUGGAAAACACAUUUUUGGACCUUCAAACCUUGACCAACCAAUCAGCGGUGUUGUUUGGACUUUUUGUGUAAGCCUAACAAAAAGAUACUUUUUGUAGUGAGGACCAGGUGAUGAUGCAGACUGAAUGUCACUGUGCGAUGAGCAGCAGCGCCGCCGUGCCAGAUAUUCUCAGUUUCCCAUCACACACAAAUGCAUCCCGGACUUGUUCUGUGUCACAUGUCUAUUAUCGUUCACACCAGGUGCGUUAGCUAAUUUGUAUGUGUUUAAAUGUUUUCCCUCUGCUCCCCACAUUGUGGAUCAUUGUUAUUGUCAGUUCGUGUAUCGGUAAGUGUUAUGUGUAUGUACUGUUUGAAGAUUUCUUGUUAAGACGCGUUGUCAUGCACUUUUGUUUCAUUCAGUUGAUAGUAUAGUUUUUCCGUCCGUUGUUCGGUAGAAGCGUCAGAAUGUCUUAAUCGCAAACACGUUUGCCGGCUCACCGC
Molecule: long non-coding RNA, 664 nt
Organism: Esox lucius (northern pike)
Lineage: Eukaryota; Metazoa; Chordata; Actinopteri; Esociformes; Esocidae
Source: Ensembl